CUAUAUGAUUUAAAAAAAAAAAGCAAAAGCAUGCAUCUAUGAUUAAGCAUCUAUGAUUCAACCCAGUCAUUAUACAUCUCACAUUCUUUUUAUUUGUUCCCAGCCCCCUUGGAGUGAUUACGACAACCAAUGGGCGAUCAUGUUAAAAGUUGGAGAAGGUGGAUCACCAGUUAUCCCAGAAUGCCUCAGUGAAGAAGGCAAGGAUUUCUUGAUGCAUUGUUUCGUGCAUGACCCGCAUGAAAGAUGGACAGCGAGGCAGCUACGAAAUCAUACUUUUCUUAAGGUGUGAGGUAAGUUAUGGCUUUCAGGUUUCAAUGCAUGAAUGUUAUUGAUGGUGUCUGUCAGGUAGUUUUCACACCAGAUGAUGACGUUUGCCUCGUAUUUUUUAAAUAUCAUUAAGGUAGAUCUGCGAGAAGAGUGCUUAGACUACACACGUAAAAACGCACAAGUUGUAACAAACCUGCAGCAGACUUGUAGCAAUGCUGUUCUAACAACUUGUCAACAGGAUGUGUUCGCACUGCUUGUUCCCAGCCAUCCUCGUUCCCAGGGCUUCUCGGCUGAACGAGGAUGGUUCCCAGCUUGUUGACAACUUGCUACAAGAUUGUUGAACUCAACAGACUUGUUACAACAACUUGUUAUCGUCCUGCAAUUCAACAAUUUGUCAACAAGUUGCGAGUGACAACCUUGUAGCAACUUAAUCAAAUGACAGCAUUGUUACAACUUGUUCACAAGCUUGCUACAAGCCUGUUUGAACACAUCUUGUUGACAAAGUUGUGAGAUUUUUACGUGUGUACUUCGACUCUACCAAACACCGUAUAGGUUUUCUCCAGGUAUGCCCGUUUCCCUCUGUAAUUUAUGUAAUGUGUGUAAAAACAGUUUCCCACUGAAGCAAUAAGGAUGGCCCUUAGAUAAUACAUAGGGAGAACUGUUUAAAACUGACAGAGUUUUCCAGAGGUGCAAAAAAUAUUUUACUUUCUGGGACCGCAAGAGAACAUUGAAAAUUUUCUGUAAACUAAUCAAGUAAGUCGACACUUGGACACUGUAUCUGUGUGACACUAACAAGUCAAACUGGAUGUCUUGCUAUAUUUUACAGGGAAAAUAUUUCACUGAGAAUUUUAAAAUAUAACCUAAAACUAAGGUAGAUAACAUGCAUCAAGGGUUGAUCCUAAGGGUAAAUACAGAUGCCAAAAAAGCUAGGGCACUACUAGGGGACACUGUCAGGGAGAUCCAUGCUACCCCAGAAAAUUUUGAAAAUCAGGUGUCCCAGAUUAGUUAAAAAUGUAUUUGCCAUACAUUUAUACACUAUCGCACCAUUAAGAUCGAUGCACUUUCUCCUUUUAUCUAAAUUAUUACAAUUUUUCUUUCUUGGGGAAAUAUUUUCUGGGAACUCGAAAAAUUUUCUAGGACCAAUGGUCCCGAGUCCGAUACUUUUUCCAGCCCUGGAGUUUUCCAAUAUCAAGACAGUUUUGUUUAGGUAUCUCCUGUAGUAACACUGAACCGACAACGGAUGAUUCGUACUGGACCUUUAUUUAGAACAGUUUAGAACUGACCUCGCUUUUCCUUUUAGUGUUGUUGAUGGAACCAUAGGGCACAUGGGUGAUGCAAAGGGAUAAUAAGGAGCAGGGGAGUAUGCAGGAAGACACACAAUGCUGAACAACGGUCAGAUUUUAAUGUUAUUUAUCUGUAGGGUCCUCUACACUGAGGGUGUUGAUGAGAAAAAUGUCGAUGUAUAGGCAGUGAUAUACUACUGUGUUAGGUGUUGUUGUACAGAACUUGUGCAUGGUUAUGCAGAGAUGGUGAAUUUUUGAAAUGUGCGCAGCACUAAUAAAGGAAUACCGAAUGGUUUUCCGUGCAGGAUUGCGUGAUCCAUGCACGAGGGAUGUCGCGAGACUUUCGGAAAGCGUAAAAAUACUCGAGCCGCAGGUGAGUGUAUUUUUACGCUUUCCAAAAGUCGAGCAACAUCCCAAGUGCAUGGAUCACGCUAUCCUGCUUGAAAAACCAUUUGGUAAUUGUUUUAUAAAAUAACUACAGUGAAACAAUGACAUUUUGAGAAUCCCGCGAAGGCGUUUUAAUUCCUCGUGCAAGAUAGCCUGAUCCUGCGCGGCUAUUGACCAAUCAAAUUGCGUGUUUCACUGUAGUUAUUAUAGAAACUGUUUUCAUACUCAUGCAAACACAAUUAUUUCUUUCUGCUCAACUCUAAUUUAAGCACGCGGUGCACACGGGUGUAUAUAGCAUUUGUUCUUGAAUGUGAGUAAUGUUUAAGUGAUCUGAUGUUGUGCUUAGGCAUCCAGUUAGAUCAUACAGAGGUAGUACAAUGUGGAAAAUGUUCCCGAAUAUGGGUAAUUCUUAAUUCUGGGUUACCUUAAAGGGAGCUGAUAUUGUACAGAACUUACUGUUAAGUGAAGCAUGAUUAUAUCAUGCAGAAAUAGUAUUGGUGGUGAAUUUGGGUUACCCUUAAGUGAUCCAAUGAUGUAGAGAACUUACUCGGUUCUCUUAUAUUACGUGGUGUCCCCAAAAAAUUGCACACUGUUUGAUUUCAUGUAACGUAAAAACUAUAAAAACUAUCGCAAUAAAGAUGAUUGCAUUCAGAAAGGACUAACUAGAUUUGAUAUAUGAAACUUGAAUUUACAUGCAAUAUUUAGCGAGAUACAAAUUUGGAAUACGUUUUAACCUGAAUAUUUUUUACUUUGAUUAUUUUUUGAUUAGUUUGAACCUGAAUAUUUUUUACUUUGAUUAUUUUUUACCUGGUGAAAACCCAGUAAAAAAGGGCUAAUUAUAAGGUUGUUUUAUGCUAAUUUGUGGCAUUUUCAAAAACAGUAGUUGACCGUUCAAACAUCAGUAGCGCAGUCAAUAUUGCAUGUAAAUUCAAGUGUUAUAUAUCAAAAUCUAAGUUAGUCCUUUCUGAAUGCCAUGAUCUUUAUUUCAUUGCGAUAGUUUUUAUAUCUUUUACGCUACAUGAAAUCAAACAUGCAGUGUCCAGUUUUUUGGGGGGGACACCCGGUAGUUAACUAACAGAGGAUAAUAUUUGUUGGGGGGAAUUGUUAGAAAUUGUACAAGAAUACAUUUGAAUGAAUUAGUGUAAGAUAUUUUAUUAUUUAUAUGGCCUUUAAAUUAUAUGAAUGUAGAAAUUGUAUGUAGGUAGUAGUAAUUGUAUGGGAAUUGCACUUAGAAAUAAAUGAAAUGUUUGAGUAACUCGUUCCGUCGUAUGGUAGUCUGCAAUCAAUCUCGUACUCAAUCAACAUAUACCUGUCACGGUUUAGUAUACCUGUCACGUUUUAGUAUACCUGUCACGUUUUAGGGGGAGUUACUAUUUUUAGACUUUUGUAAUUU
Molecule: long non-coding RNA, 3330 nt
Filed under: Paramuricea clavata
Lineage: Eukaryota; Metazoa; Cnidaria; Anthozoa; Malacalcyonacea; Plexauridae
Source: RNAcentral